CUGUUGGUUAUGUGUGCCCAAGCAUUGAGGCAGUCAAAGUAGGCAAAUCCGCUUUGAUAAUGCUGGGAUGUGAUGGGGAGCGAAAUUUAGUAGCGAAGUAGCUGAUUUCACACUGUCAAGAAAAGUCGCUAUCGAGGUUAAAGGUACCCGUACCGCAAACCGACACAGGUGGGUGAGGAGAGUAUCCUAAGGCCAGCGAGAGAACUGUUGUUAAGGAACUCGGCAAAAUGACCCCGUAACUUAGGGAUAAGGGGUGCC
This 258-nucleotide ribosomal RNA is filed under the name Clostridioides difficile. Its description in RNAcentral is "partial 23S ribosomal RNA". It matches the Rfam family "Bacterial large subunit ribosomal RNA", at positions 1495 to 1752 of the family's 2925-position model. Lineage: Bacteria; Bacillati; Bacillota; Clostridia; Peptostreptococcales; Peptostreptococcaceae. The record is from RNAcentral.